CCAUAGCUGGUUUGAGAGGAUGAUCAGCCACACUGGGACUGAGACACGGCCCAGACUCCUACGGGAGGCAGCAGUGGGGAAUCUUAGACAAUGGGCGCAAGCCUGAUCUAGCCAUGCCGCGUGAGCGAUGAAGGCCUUAGGGUUGUAAAGCUCUUUCAGUGGGGAAGAUAAUGACGGUACCCACAGAAGAAGCCCCGGCUAACUCCGUGCCAGCAGCCGCGGUAAUACGGAGGGGGCUAGCGUUAUUCGGAAUUACUGGGCGUAAAGCGCACGUAGGCGGAUCGGAAAGUUGGGGGUGAAAUCCCAGGGCUCAACCCUGGAACUGCCUUCAAAACUCCCGGUCUGGAGUUCGAGAGAGGUAAGUGGAAUUCCGAGUGUAGAGGUGAAAUUCGUAGAUAUUC
This 401-nucleotide ribosomal RNA is filed under the name uncultured Rhodobacterales bacterium. RNAcentral's name for it is "bacterial SSU rRNA". It matches the Rfam family "Bacterial small subunit ribosomal RNA", at positions 281 to 699 of the family's 1533-position model. Lineage: Bacteria; Pseudomonadati; Pseudomonadota; Alphaproteobacteria; Rhodobacterales. The record is from RNAcentral.